RNAcentral lists this ribosomal RNA (438 nucleotides) under Triticum aestivum (bread wheat). RNAcentral describes it as "partial small subunit ribosomal RNA". Lineage: Eukaryota; Viridiplantae; Streptophyta; Magnoliopsida; Poales; Poaceae. The record is from RNAcentral.
AUGGAUAGGCAAGGCAUUUCAUCUCCGGUCUUCGACAACAAUGACGACGCGAACAACUACAUCACCAAAUCGUCAAUCUUCAAUCUACAACAACAAAUGCAAGGUGCACAAUCAAGAUUGCGAGAGCGCAUCGAGAACCUCUCCCUCGACAUUUGUCACUCCGAAGCAAGGAAAAUGGACUACAUCGACAACAAGCUUUCCGCACAAAAGGAGGAGCAAGAUGCAAGGAUGGAGGAGGUUCGGGCCUUAAUCAAGUCUAGUUUCCCUUCGUCAUCUUCAAGGCAGCGGCGACCAAGUCGAUCAUCUUUGGAGCGACCAAGUGAUGCAAGCGCAAGUCGUCCACGUCCACAUCUACAUGGGGACCACCAUCACGUUCGUGAUCCACAUCGUCAUGACGGACACAUCACCUCCAAGCAUCAUGUGCACGACGACGAAUGA